UUGCGUAAUGAUCCCGGUGCAAAAUCGCAGCGCAGUGGUACAUGUGCAUUACAGACGGCGGCUGUAGAUUUAAUUCUUUCGGGAGAAAAACCUUAUUUAGUGUUCUAAUGAACGGACAAAGUUUUCUUCUGAAAGGCUUAAAGUCAUUCCCCGUAAAACACGUACAUCACUUCGAAAAGAAAUAAUCCUUUUGAGUCGCAGUCUGACCUGUAAUAAAAAUGAACCCCUCGGGGAUUGCAGGGAGGAAGAAUGUUUUUUUAAUUUUAAUAUAAAACGAGUAUGAGUAAGGAUCUUCGAAGGCGAUUCGAGAGGGACGUCAGGUGGGAGCAAAGUGACGCAAUACGGAACACGCAUUGCCGUGUUUUGGCUCUUUCCUCGCUUCAAUUUCAGGAAUGCGAUUUUUAUGUUCUCUCGGCGAGCGUGCCGCGCAAACAAACCGGGCAUGUCCCGCACGUCGCAUAAUUCUCUCACGAACAUGAGAGGGAAGAAGGGAUAGGGGGAGCAGAUGCGUGCCCUUCCGCCUCCGAAAUUAAAGUCGGGGACGAAAAUUAACGUCGCCGUGCGGAUGGAGACCUCAGUUGUGCGAUCGAUAUCUUAUCCAUUUCAGAGGAUUGGAUCGUGCCAUCAAUUAAAACCCGAUUGACACCGAUUCACUUUUCGGUGCGAACAUCAAUAUGGUGUCGUCGAUAAGUCAAAACAUCUAAGGGCGACUUUGAAAGACCAAACUCUGUUUAACUUGAUCGACGAUUAAUCCCAAUCGGCAAAAUCGCUUGAGGGGAAACUUCUGGUUAUGGAAGAGAAGAA
Long non-coding RNA from Pogonomyrmex barbatus (red harvester ant), 804 nucleotides. The record is from RefSeq and is a predicted model, not a curated record. Lineage: Eukaryota; Metazoa; Arthropoda; Insecta; Hymenoptera; Formicidae.